ACUUUCAGAUCCUGGGCGUAAGGACGCGUAGGCGGAUUAUCAAGUCUCUUGUGAAAUCUAACGGCUCAACCGUUAAACUGCUUGGGAAACUGAUAAUCUAGAGUAAGGGAGAGGCAGAUGGAAUUCUUGGUGUAGGGGUAAAAUCCGUAGAUAUCAAGAAGAAUACCUAUGGCGAAGGCGAUCUGCUGGAACUUAACUGACGCUAAUGCGUGAAAGCGUGGGGAGCAAACAGGAUUAGAUACCCUGGUAGUCCACGCCCUAAACGAUGUAUACCGGUUGUUGCUGUGCUAGUCACGGCAGUAAUCCACCUAACGGAUUAAGUAUACCGCCGGGGGAGUACGGUCGCAAGAUUAAAACUCAAAAGAAAUUUGACGGA
This 376-nucleotide ribosomal RNA is filed under the name uncultured bacterium. RNAcentral's name for it is "bacterial SSU rRNA". It matches the Rfam family "Bacterial small subunit ribosomal RNA", at positions 543 to 917 of the family's 1533-position model. The record is from RNAcentral.